This 313-nucleotide long non-coding RNA is filed under the name Oryza brachyantha (malo sina). RNAcentral describes it as "long non-coding RNA (OBRA_LNC000629)". The record is from RNAcentral. Lineage: Eukaryota; Viridiplantae; Streptophyta; Magnoliopsida; Poales; Poaceae.
GCCCCCCGGUACAGCGCCCGCGACAUUGCUGCAGCAGCUGCGGAUCUCACGGCCCCAGCCACAGCCGCAUGGACACCAGCCACCACCGUACCGAAACAAUUCCACACUUCCCGCCGCCGCAGCACUCGCCCACUCCACUGGCUGCCUGCGCCUGCGCUACCACUUACCUCCCCAUUGCACGCGGCGAGUAAUGGAGAAGCCGAGAUAGAGAGAGAGAGGUGGAAGAUAGAUACCGCGCAAUAAUAUCACACCACCCCCACGAGCAGUAAACCGAGGGAGGAGUCCUUUGCCUCCUUGGCCGUUUCGCUGCGGA